GCGGAUCAAGAGGUUACGAUUGGGAAUCGACCGAUUGGUGCUACAGUUGGGAAUCGGCGGAUUGGCGCUUCAGUGUUUCAAGCAAUUGGCGGAUGGAGUUAACGGGAGUCGGCCGAUUGAAAGGUUGGAGUGAUUGGGCCAAUAUGGGCUUAAGGUGGGCUAGCAAAAAAAGAUGAAAAAAGAUUGGCCUGCAGGAGUAUGAUAACCAACUUCGGUACGAGUUGUGUUUGUAAAUAUUCGUUUUCGUUUAAAAUUAGAGAUAGAUCCUAGUCCGUUUGGAAAUUAGCUGUAACAGGCUAUAAAUAUCCAUCUUCAGAGAUUUGUAAAGGACACAUCAAUCAAUACAAACAAUC
RNAcentral lists this long non-coding RNA (353 nucleotides) under Setaria viridis. RNAcentral describes it as "long non-coding RNA (SVIR_LNC007329)". Lineage: Eukaryota; Viridiplantae; Streptophyta; Magnoliopsida; Poales; Poaceae. The record is from RNAcentral.